This 72-nucleotide transfer RNA is filed under the name Candidatus Pacearchaeota archaeon. RNAcentral's name for it is "tRNA-Cys". It matches the Rfam family "tRNA". From Rfam's summary of the family: Transfer RNA (tRNA) molecules are approximately 80 nucleotides in length. Lineage: Archaea; Nanobdellati. The record is from RNAcentral.
GUGCGGAUCGCAUAGUGGUUCUUGCACCCGCCUGCAGAGCGGGAUACCCGGGUUCGAUUCCCGGUCCGCACU